RNAcentral lists this transfer RNA (75 nucleotides) under Fasciola gigantica. RNAcentral's name for it is "tRNA-Gln". The record is from RNAcentral. Lineage: Eukaryota; Metazoa; Platyhelminthes; Trematoda; Plagiorchiida; Fasciolidae.
CCGGCGGUGGUCAGACGGUUAUCACAAUGGGCUCUGGAUCCUUCAGUACCGGGUUCGAGUCUCCGCGCUGCCGGU